This 253-nucleotide ribosomal RNA is filed under the name uncultured bacterium. RNAcentral describes it as "partial 16S ribosomal RNA". It matches the Rfam family "Bacterial small subunit ribosomal RNA", at positions 524 to 776 of the family's 1533-position model. The record is from RNAcentral.
UACGAGCGGCCCAAACGUUAUUCGGAAUUACUGGGCUUAAAGAGUUCGUAGGCGGCAUGAAAAGUAGGGUGUGAAAGCCCUCGGCUCAACCGAGGAAUUGCGCUCUAAACUGUCGUGCUCGAGGAAUCUAGAGGUGAGCGGAACUGAUGGUGGAGCGGUGAAAUGCGUUGAUAUCAUCAGGAACACCGGAGGCGAAGGCGGCUCACUGGGGAUUUUCUGACGCUGAGGAACGAAAGCCAGGGGAGCGAACGGG